Molecule: ribosomal RNA, 467 nt
Filed under: uncultured bacterium
Lineage: Bacteria
Description: partial 16S ribosomal RNA
Rfam family: Bacterial small subunit ribosomal RNA
Source: RNAcentral
GAUGAACGCUGGCGGCGUGCUUAACACAUGCAAGUCGAACGGAAGGCCCAAGCUUGCUUUGGUACUCGAGUGGCGAACGGGUGAGUAACACGUGGGUGAUCUGCCCUGCACUUCGGGAUAAGCCUGGGAAACUGGGUCUAAUACCGGAUAGGACGAUGGUUUGGAUGCCAUUGUGGAAAGUUUUUUCGGUGUGGGAUGAGCUCGCGGCCUAUCAGCUUGUUGGUGGGGUAAUGGCCUACCAAGGCGUCGACGGGUAGCCGGCCUGAGAGGGUGUACGGCCACAUUGGGACUGAGAUACGGCCCAGACUCCUACGGGAGGCAGCAGUGGGGAAUAUUGCACAAUGGGCGCAAGCCUGAUGCAGCGACGCCGCGUGGGGGAUGACGGCCUUCGGGUUGUAAACUCCUUUCGCUAGGGACGAAGCGUUUUUGUGACGGUACCUGGAGAAGAAGCACCGGCUAACUACGUG